UUCUCAGAAGUGAAUGUCAACUUCCUGAUGUUUAUACUCAAGGAGAAUGAGGUUUGGAGAUCUGAGUAGUUUACUGAAGGCACUCACAUUGAAAGAUUUUAUGAAGCUGAAAUUCAAAUCUAGAUGUGCCCCAUCCAAAGACCACCCUCUUUAUACAGCAACAUGCUGCUUCCCCUGGAUCAAGAAACACAAGAUUUGGAUAUUGGUGAACGAAAAGAGCUU
RNAcentral lists this long non-coding RNA (222 nucleotides) under Pan troglodytes (chimpanzee). Its description in RNAcentral is "long non-coding RNA NONPTRT009961". The record is from RNAcentral. Lineage: Eukaryota; Metazoa; Chordata; Mammalia; Primates; Hominidae.